GGUGAGAACCCUCGCCGAUUCUCCCCGCCGCGCCCCUCUCCCCUUCUCCACCGCAGCCGCCACCGCCAUGGUCCCGUCCUCCUCUCCUCCCCGUACAUCUCUCAGCGCCGAGUUCGCUGCCUUAGCUGCUCUCCCCACUACCAGCACGCUGUCGAUGGCCAACCGGGCCGCCGCACGCAGGAAGGAAGAGCAGCAGCAGCCGGGACGAGGGCGGGGAUGGAGAACGCGGCGUCCAUCUCACGAAGCCUCUGGCCAUCCCUCACCCCUGAUGCCGCCGUCCUUCCUCCUCCCCAUCGGGGCCAGGCAGAGGAGGAGGAGCGUCGACCACGGGCAUGAAGAGGAGGCGGCCGACAUCACCGUGCGCCGCCCGGCCAAGGUCUUCUCCCGCUGCUCUGGGUCGCGCGCCGCCUCUGCCGCCGACAGGAGGGGGCUGCGGCAGCCGCCACACAUUCCGGCGACCAGGAGCUCCCCGGCGUGGUUCCCUCGAUGGAGGGAUGCUUCCUCCGUCCACUGCCUGCUCCGUGCUGACGCCAUCAGUAGCGGUGGCGGUCGGGCUGAUGCGGACUCCGCACCACCACCGACGGUUUCGCCACGGACCGCAUCGUCUCCGACCAUGGCGAAAAGGCGCCCAGCGUUGUCUACAGCGGCACCCUCUUCGGCCCUGACCUAGUCACCGGGAUGCUCAUCGCUCUCGUUGGAUUCGGGCUCUACAAGUUUCGAUUCCCAGGUGUAAGACCUUUUAUGUUGUGCAUACACAAAUCUGCACUUCUGAAUUUUGUCUAGCUGUAGUUGACAGCAGUGGGCAUAACAAUAGCAUAACAGUAUGGAUAUGCUAUGUAGGUCGUGAAAUGUAUCAAAAUCGGUCUUCCAGAGAUCAUACUGCUGGUAGCUCUUUCCCAGUACAUACCUCAUCUGGUGCCUUUGCUGGGCACUGCCUUUGAGGGGUUCGCCGUCAUAAUGUCCGUCGCCGUCGUGUGGCUUUACGCGUUCUUCCUGACGGUUGGCGGGGCGUAUAAGAAUGCUGCUCCACCUGACCAUCCCAAUACUGCAGGAGUGUGUAUGUGUUGCGAGCAGUGAUUGGUACAGCCAAUGCAUCACUACUGGAGUACUGGCCCUUUUAGUGUGAGUAUGGCUGGAUUAUUUGCUUCUUUCAUGAUGAAGAAAUGGCCAUAGCCAUGGGAGUUUCCUCUUGGCGAUGAUAGCCGUGAGCAUCAUGCUAACUAUUAUGAUGCUGUACUGAAGUGAUAAUCAUGUUGGUGUUGUAUGGCUUGGUUGAGCUCAAGGUCAACGGAGACGGCAAUUGUCAGGUCUAUUUACAUGAUUUGAUUUUCUGUUUACUUUUUGAGAGUACCAUGUUUGGUAUCCAGUACAAGCCUACUCGGCAUAUUACUUGCCUCUUUCCAAAUCUCCAUUUUAAAUAGUUUCAAGCAUCAUCUGUUCAAUAUAGCGAACACCUGAACACUAUAGAUUUGUAUGGCUACUUUUACCAGGUUCCUUCUUACAGUAAUUUUAAUUGCUAGAUAUAUACAUCUAGGAGAGCUGGUUGUAUCUCUUUUUUCUGUUGUUAUUGGAGAAGAUGAAAAAAAAUCCUGGUCAGAUUCCCUUGUUCUCACAUUAGCUUGCAAAUAGAGUCAUGGACUGGACAAUAAACAUUUCUCCUAUUACAGUGUACAAUAUAUGAUUGAUUUUUUUUCUUUGCACUAUUUUACAUAAGUGUGUUGUUGAUGCCCUUUUUAUUUGGUCUUGCAGCUAUUUUGUGUUUCUGGUUCUAUAUAUAUACUGGUUGGAUGUUGACAAACAAUUCAUCCAUGCCUUCUUUUUCUAUGGGUGUAUGCUCGGCUCUUGAUACUGAACCUUUUUGUCAUUCAUUUUCGGAUCUGGUAAACAAGAUCGUAUUGUGUAGAUUAACUGCGGUGAAUUGCAGCCAGGGUUAGAAGCAAUGGGUCAUCCUCGAGCUCACGCCGCCCAUCUAGACAGAAGAAGAUGGGUGCUGCGGGCGGCGAGGCUGACGCGCCAUCGUCCUGUCUUCUGUGAGGGGAUCCAUCGUGAGGAACCAGCGGACGCGAUGCGGGUGCCCGAUCCUUACUGUGGAAUCACCUCUUCUUGUGGAUGGUUGCUGAAUAGCAGCAGUUCCAUCUCCAUCCCCAACGCAUCCUUGCCUCAUCUUGAUCUGCAAUGAACCAGAGAUUGAUCAAGAAAGACAAAUUGUCUCAUGCUUCAAGUACCAAGAAGAUAAUUUCUUGCAAGAUAAGGAAAAAUGGUCGACGCCACCGUGGCAGUGUUCUUUGGCACUCGGGUCAACAUAGUAGGUUUCUCCUUGUCAUUGAUAGCAUCGGUUAACAUAGGGGCAGCGGUCGCGGUCGCCCGAGGAGCACAGCCACACGGGGCUGGUCCUGCCGCCGCCAAAGAAGAGCGGAGGAGGUCGAUACAUGGUCGAGGAGGGGCACGGGCGAGGUUCAUGCCGCACGGGGGCACGCGGCUCCAACGAGAGAAGGCUUCUCCUGUUCCCGUGCCGCCAGGCACCCCUCACCGCCGCCCUAUACUUGUCCUCCGGUCGUCGGUGCUUUGUUGGUUGAUGGAUUUUGCUUAUCUGCCGGCAGAUCGCACCGAAGGCCGCCGCCAUAUAGGGGCUAAUGAGGACAUCGUGAUGAGGUUGCCGCUUUGGCCAUAGCAGAGGGGAUCCGGCCGGCACAUUGCGUCUCCCAUAAACAUGCCUAAUUUUAUAUUCAAAUGUAGCAUUGAUCUACUUGCCCCCUCCAAAAGGCCAUAUGUGUUGCUUUGUUUUACUUCUCUUUCAUAUCUAGUUAUUUAGAAAUUCUCUGGUAACCUUCUGGCACUAAAAUAUGAUUAGGUAUAAUGUGAAGCAUUUCCUUGACAGAGGUACCUAUUGCUGGAUCAUUUAUGUUGCUAUAUGUUGCAGGAAUGUAUCCAUGAACUGGGAAACCUGUGAACUCUUUGAUACGCCUUUUAUGUGUUGCUUUUGGUCUUGAUAGAGGGAGAUACAUUGACAGGAAGUGCUCACUCGCUAGAAUUGUUUCUAUCAGGGGCAGAAUUAUUGGUUAAACAUGCACUAUGUGAACAUGAAUAGGAACCUUUCAUAAUUAUUCCCAAACAUGCCACUGUGUCAUCAUUGGCCAGUGCGGGCAUUGCUCUCUAGCAGAUAUAUUGUUUAGUUCUUCUUGGUUUCAAUUAUGUUGGCCCUCCUUAAGAUUGCUUCGGAAUGUGAGGCUUUAAAGUUUCAACCCUGUGCAAGGCUCCAAAGCUUUACCAGUUUUCCACUUGCUUUCAAAUGAAUUUGUCAUUGAAGAAACCAUGAAUUCUUUUGUUUUCUUUUUGACCUACACUUAACCUUUCAUGGGAAGAUAGUGUGUCAUUUCCCCAUUAGGGUUGGAGUACUUGAUGUAUGUGUUGUAUUAGUGACGUGGUCGUAACAAGCAACCAUAAAUAUUGUUUUUGAUUUCCUUGGAUGAAGACACUUUUAUGUGACAACCAUAUGUUUACUAAUACAUAGUAGGGUUUUGGAAACUGGUGGUUACUUUUGUUUGUUGACAACCAAUUACUGUGAUUCCAGGACCUCUUAGAUUAUACAAGUCCCUAUGUUUGUUUGGAUUUAUGAACCAUGGGACUGGACUUUCAUUCGAUGCCACUAGCUUCUGUGAUGUGAUACGUCUUCAACGUAUCUAUAAUUUUUGAUUGUUCCAUGCUAUUAUAUUACCCGUUUAGGAU
Molecule: long non-coding RNA, 3726 nt
Organism: Triticum dicoccoides
Lineage: Eukaryota; Viridiplantae; Streptophyta; Magnoliopsida; Poales; Poaceae
Exons: 12
Source: RefSeq, a predicted model, not a curated record